CCAGACUCCUACGGGAGGCAGCAGUGAGGAAUAUUGGUCAAUGGCCGCAGGGCUGAACCAGCCAAGUCGCGUGAGGGAUGACGGUCCUAUGGAUUGUAAACCUCUUUUGUCAGGGAGCAAAGGGCGCCACGUGUGGCGCUUUGCGAGUACCUGAAGAAAAAGCAUCGGCUAACUCCGUGCCAGCAGCCGCGGUAAUACGGAGGAUGCGAGCGUUAUCCGGAUUUAUUGGGUUUAAAGGGUGCGCAGGCGGAAUGUCAAGUCAGCGGUAAAAUUUCGGGGCUCAACCCCGUCGUGCCGUUGAAACUGGCGGGCUGGAGUUGGAGAGAAGUACGCGGAAUGCGCGGUGUAGCGGUGAAAUGCUUAGAUAUCGCGCAGAACCCCGAUUGCGAAGGCAGCGUACCGGCUCCACACUGACGCUGAGGCACGAAAGCGUGGGUAUCGAACAGGAUUAGAUACCCUGGUA
RNAcentral lists this ribosomal RNA (463 nucleotides) under uncultured bacterium. Its description in RNAcentral is "bacterial SSU rRNA". It matches the Rfam family "Bacterial small subunit ribosomal RNA", at positions 331 to 792 of the family's 1533-position model. The record is from RNAcentral.